ACAGACAUGAGCUUGAGUGAGCAAGCGGAAUCCACCUUCCUCGGCGUCUUCUCUCUUUGGCGAGAGUGGAAACCAACACCACGUUCAACCCCGCUGCCCCCCUGCAAGCCCAGUUCAGACCCUGACGCGGGCGGAAAGGGGGGCGGUGGAUUCCAGAAGGUUCCACGCAGGAAGCGUCUCCACGGGCCCGUGCAGAGGGGCUCCUCCGGGCGGCCCCAGCGGCGCCUUCUCCGGCCGGGUCCCCUUCUCCUGGGAGCCUGGGCGUGGUCUCCCGUGUCCGGAGCUGCGUCCUUCCUUGCGCUCCACGAAGGUGCCUAAAGGUAAAGUGAACUCAACAGACGGGGCGGGGCGGGGGCGUCUGGAAUUUACCCGCACGUGGGAGCCCCCCGUCCCCUGCGGCCUGGGAUGGGGUGGGAAGGGUGCUCGCCCGUAGGUGCUGGGCGCCCGCCGCAGGCCCCUCCCCAGACUUUAAGGCAGGCGAUUCUUGGCACGAGGAAUCCUGGCCGCAGAGAGGGGCAGCUCAGUUCUCGGCCGCAGGGGCCGUCCUGCCAGCGGGUGGGGUUGGUUUUGGAGAGGGUGGGGGACCGUAAGGAUCCGGCUUGAUGUGGGUUUUUGGCGACUUUGGAAAGGGCUGAGGUCCCUGGGGAGGGGGCCG
RNAcentral lists this long non-coding RNA (655 nucleotides) under Homo sapiens (human). RNAcentral describes it as "non-protein coding lnc-ATP8B3-3:1". The record is from RNAcentral. Lineage: Eukaryota; Metazoa; Chordata; Mammalia; Primates; Hominidae.